Long non-coding RNA from Girardinichthys multiradiatus, 313 nucleotides. RefSeq lists it as uncharacterized. The transcript is spliced from 3 exons. NCBI's taxonomy places the organism in Eukaryota, Metazoa, Chordata, Actinopteri, Cyprinodontiformes, Goodeidae. The record is from RefSeq and is a predicted model, not a curated record.
CAGCAUCAGCUGGGACAGGAAGAACUUCUCAGGCUGAGUGAUGGGCGGCAGGAAACCUGGAGACAACAUGGAAACGGAGGGGAAGUUUCAGAUGAAUCCUUCUAAAUAUAUGGGCCGUUUGUAGAAGAAAACACAUGAAUGCUACCAUAAGUCUUAUGAUCGUCUUUAAGGGCAGCUAGUUCCUCAUGGGACCCUACCUGACAGAACCUUCUCCUGCUCUUCUCCCGGCGCAGGGUUCAGCAGGUGGGCGAACACAGCGGCGAACGGGUUGGCAGCCAGGGGCUCGGUUCUGUACAUCUCCCAGAGCAGGUAG